This 502-nucleotide ribosomal RNA is filed under the name uncultured Glomus. Its description in RNAcentral is "SSU rRNA". It matches the Rfam family "Eukaryotic small subunit ribosomal RNA", at positions 569 to 1075 of the family's 1831-position model. Lineage: Eukaryota; Fungi; Glomeromycota; Glomeromycetes; Glomerales; Glomeraceae. The record is from RNAcentral.
AGCAGCCGCGGUGAUUCCAGCUCCAAUAGCGUAUAUUAAAGUUGUUGCAGUUAAAAAGCUCGUAGUUGAAUUUCGGGAUCAAUUAGUCGGUCGUGCCUCUGGUACGUACUGGUUUUAUUGGUUCCUCCCUUCUGACGAAACAUGAUGUCAUUAAUUUGGUGUCGUGGGGAAUCAGGACUGUUACCUUGAAAAAUUAGAGUGUUUAUAGCAGGCUAACGCUUGAAUACAUUAGCAUGGAAUAAUGAAAUAGGACGUUCGACCCUAUUUUGUUGGUUUCUAGGAUCGACGUAAUGAUUAAUAGGGAUAGUUGGGGGCAUUAGUAUUCAAUUGUCAGAGGUGAAAUUCUUGGAUUUAUUGAAGACUAACUACUGCGAAAGCAUUUGCCAAGGAUGUUUUCAUUAAUCAAGAACGAAAGUUAGGGGAUCGAAGACGAUCAGAUACCGUCGUAGUCUUAACCAUAAACUAUGCCGACUAGGGAUCGGAUGAUGUUAAUUUUUAUGAC